GAGGCGAACCGGGGGAACUGAAACAUCUAAGUACCCCGAGGAAAAGAAAUCAACCGAGAUUCCGAAAGUAGCGGCGAGCGAAAUUGGACUAGCCCUUAAGCUUUACACGCGUUAGACGAACGGUCUGGAAAGUCCGACGAUACAGGGUGAUAGUCCCGUAGUUGACGACGUGUGUUCAGUGAAAUCGAGUAGGGCGGGACACGUGAUAUCCUGUCUGAAUAUGGGGGGACCAUCCUCCAAGGCUAAAUACUACUGACUGACCGAUAGUGAACCAGUACCGUGAGGGAAAGGCGAAAAGAACCCCUGUGAGGGGAGUGAAAUAGAACCUGAAACCGUGUACGUACAAGCAGUAGGAGCAGGCUUUGUCCUGUGACUGCGUACCUUUUGUAUAAUGGGUCAGCGACUUAUAUUCAGUGGCAAGGUUAACCAUCUAGGGGAGCCGUAGGGAAACCGAGUCUUAACUGGGCGUUCAGUCUCUGGAUAUAGACCCGAAACCAGGUGAUCUAGCCAUGGGCAGGUUGAAGGUUGAGUAACAUCAACUGGAGGACCGAACCGACUAAUGUUGAAAAAUUAGCGGAUGACUUGUGGCUAGGGGUGAAAGGCCAAUCAAACCUGGAGAUAGCUGGUUCUCCCCGAAAGCUAUUUAGGUAGCGCCUCGGACGAAUACUACUGGGGGUAGAGCACUGUUAAGGCUAGGGGGUCAUCCCGACUUACCAACCCUUUGCAAACUCCGAAUACCAGUAAGUACUAUCCGGGAGACACACGGCGGGUGCUAACGUCCGUCGUGGAGAGGGAAACAACCCAGACCGCCAGCUAAGGUCCCAAAUUACUACUAAGUGGGAAACGAUGUGGGAAGGCUCAGACAGCCAGGAUGUUGGCUUAGAAGCAGCCAUCAUUUAAAGAAAGCGUAAUAGCUCACUGGUCGAGUCGGCCUGCGCGGAAGAUGUAACGGGGCUAAGUAGUAAACCGAAGCUGCGGCAAUAUACUUUUGUAUAUUGGGUAGGGGAGCGUUCUGUAAGCGGUUGAAGGUGUGUGGUAACGCAUGCUGGACGUAU
Molecule: ribosomal RNA, 1055 nt
Filed under: Vibrio parahaemolyticus
Lineage: Bacteria; Pseudomonadati; Pseudomonadota; Gammaproteobacteria; Vibrionales; Vibrionaceae
Description: partial 23S ribosomal RNA
Rfam family: Bacterial large subunit ribosomal RNA
Source: RNAcentral